AAAAUAUGGGUACGAGGAAUGAUUACGGGAUUUAUUAAUUACUUAAGUUCUGGGAUCUAAUUAGAGUCCUCUUCCUUUAUUUAAUUAUUAUUAUAGUAUUUUAGGUGGGCUGGAUUAGGUCUUUAUGAGUCCAGCUUUGUUCAAGUUGUUUUCUUCAUUAUUUUGUAGCAUCCUAGUCAGUUAAGAGUUAAGACCACCUCCAAAGUAAGCUAUUGGCUGGAGGAGUUUUAGGCUUAGCUUGAGUCCUAUUUUGUGUCUUUUAUAUAAGUAUGUAAGGGGAUACAGCUCUGCACAUGAACUUGAUUAAUAGAAUUUGGCUUUUGCCUUUUGGGUCUGUGGUGACUCAGUACCUUACUAAUAUGGUGAUUUAGCAAGACCCUUGAUGCUGAUUCCAGCCCUGCAGAUCAGGUGGUGAUUCUUGAUCAUACCUUUUCUUUUAUUUCUUUUCUUUCCAACAAUUGCAUAUCAGUUUCAGUUCCUGUUAAGAGGCAUAAUACUUUACAGACUUGAUCAACUGCUUUGUAUUGUUCAUUCAACUAGAAUUUCAGGCUGAUCAGAAUUGUUUAGAACAAAUUAUCUGGUUUUCUCUCUAACUUGGUUCUAUCCCUAUACCUGCAAUCCUGUCGCAAGCUGCUCUCCCACACUGCAUUAGAGGCAAAAAGAGUACUCCUUCCAUUCCUCAUACAUUGUCCACUUUGGCAUUUUAGCUGUUACAAAAUGUUAGUCCGUUUCAAGAAUUUAAUGUAUGAAUUUUGGUAGUUUUGCCAUUUUACCCAUCAUCGCAGUAACGAAAACUACGAAUCCACAUUGAAAAUGGGACAACCUUUGAAAAUAAUUUAAAGAAAGUAGGAAUUUAAGUU
This is a long non-coding RNA of Telopea speciosissima, 860 nucleotides long. RefSeq lists it as uncharacterized. The transcript is spliced from 3 exons. The record is from RefSeq and is a predicted model, not a curated record. NCBI's taxonomy places the organism in Eukaryota, Viridiplantae, Streptophyta, Magnoliopsida, Proteales, Proteaceae.